GGGCUUGUGGUCUAGUGGCUAUGACUUUUCCUUGACGUGGAAAGGGUCGCAGGUUCGACUCCUGCCGAGCCCA
Molecule: transfer RNA, 73 nt
Filed under: Candidatus Woesearchaeota archaeon
Lineage: Archaea; Nanobdellati; Candidatus Woesearchaeota
Description: tRNA-Val
Rfam family: tRNA
About the family: Transfer RNA (tRNA) molecules are approximately 80 nucleotides in length. Their secondary structure includes four short double-helical elements and three loops (D, anti-codon, and T loops). Further hydrogen bonds mediate the characteristic L-shaped molecular structure. tRNAs have two regions of fundamental functional importance: the anti-codon, which is responsible for specific mRNA codon recognition, and the 3' end, to which the tRNAs corresponding amino acid is attached (by aminoacyl-tRNA synthetases). tRNAs cope with the degeneracy of the genetic code in two manners: having more than one tRNA (with a specific anti-codon) for a particular amino acid; and 'wobble' base-pairing, i.e. permitting non-standard base-pairing at the 3rd anti-codon position.
Source: RNAcentral